UGCGAGUCGCGCGCCCGGGGGCGCCCGGGAGCGGCGCACGGCUCAGUAACACGUGCCUAACCUAACCUCGGGAGGGGGACACCCCCGGGAAACUGGGGUCAAUCCCCCAUAGGGGAAGGGCGCUGGAAGGCCCCUUCCCCGAAAGGGCCGGCGGCCGAUCCGCCGCCAGCCGCCCGAGGGUGGGGGCACGGCCCAUCAGGUAGUUGGCGGGUUAAAGGCCCGCCAAGCCGAAGACGGGUAGGGGCGGUGAGAGCCGCGAGCCCCGAGAUGGGCACUGAGACAAGGGCCCAGGCCCUACGGGGUGCAGCAGGCGCGAAUACUCCGCAAUGCGGGCAACCGCGACGGGGCUACCCCGAGUGCCGGGCGAAGAGCCCGGCUUUUGCCCGGUCUAAAAAGCCGGGAGAAUAAGCGGGGGGCAAGUCUGGUGUCAGCCGCCGCGGUAAUACCAGCUCCGCGAGUGGUCGGNGUGUUUACUGGGCUUAAAGCGCCCGUAGCCGGCCCGGAAAGUCGCUCCUGAAAUCCCCGGGCUCAACCCGGGGGCCGGGGGCGAUACUGCCGGGCUAGGGGCGGGAGAGGCCGCCGGUACUCCGGGGGUAGGGGCGAAAUCCGUUAAUCCCCGGAGGACCACCAGUGGCGAAAGCGGGCGGCCAGAACGCGCCCGACGGUGAGGGGCGAAAGCCGGGGGAGCAAAGGGGAUUAGAUACCCCUGUAGUCCCGGCCGUAAACGAUGCGGGCUAGCUGUCGGUCGGGCUUAGGGCCCGGCCGGUGGCGAAGGGAAACCGUUAAGCCCGCCGCCUGGGGAGUACGGCCGCAAGGCUGAAACUUAAAGGAAUUGGCGGGGGGGCACCACAAGGGGUGAAGCUUGCGGCUUAAUUGGAGUCAACGCCGGAAACCUCACCCGGGGCGACAGCAGGAUGAAGGCCAGGCUAACGACCUUGCCGGACGAGCUGAGAGGAGGUGCAUGGCCGUCGUCAGCUCGUGCCGUGAGGUGUCCGGUUAAGUCCGGCAACGAGCGAGACCCCCACCCCUAGUUGCUACCCCUCCCUACGGGGAGGGGGGCACACUAGGGGGACUGCCGGCGUAAGCCGGAGGAAGGAGGGGGCCACGGCAGGUCAGUAUGCCCCGAAACCCCGGGGCUGCACGCGAGCUGCAAUGGCGGGGACAGCGGGACCCGACCCCGAAAGGGGGAGGCAAUCCCGUAAACCCCGCCCCAGUAGGGAUCGAGGGCUGCAACUCGCCCUCGUGAACGUGGAAUCCCUAGUAACCGCGUGUCACCAACGCGCGGUGAAUACGUCCCUGCCCCUUGCACACACCGCCCGUCGCACCACCCGAGGGAGCCCUCUGCGAGGCCCCUCGCCGCAAGGUGGGGGGACGAGC
This 1377-nucleotide ribosomal RNA is filed under the name Pyrobaculum sp. WIJ3. Its description in RNAcentral is "16S ribosomal RNA". It matches the Rfam family "Archaeal small subunit ribosomal RNA". Lineage: Archaea; Thermoproteati; Thermoproteota; Thermoprotei; Thermoproteales; Thermoproteaceae. The record is from RNAcentral.